AGUGCUGGCCAGCUCACGCCUGACCCACCCUUAUUCUAAGCAUAGGGUCUGCCUCUGAAGAGCUAAAGACUUCCUGAAAUUUAAAAAUUAGUGCUUUUAUUUGCUUGUCCUGCUAAGACCGUAGGCAAAGGCCAUCCUCCUCCCAUUGACAGUUUAGAGUGGAUGAAGGAACGAGGGCACAGAGAGAUUCGAGUUGUCACCCAAGCUCACAUAGCACCAGUGACAGAGAUGAAGAAACUGACAUCUGGAGAAGUUGAAGUAAUUUGCACAAAGAUUCACUUGGCUAACGGAGUUUUGCUCUGUCACCCAGGCUGGAGUGCAAUGGCCCGAUCUCGCCUCACUGCAACCUCCACCUCCCGAGUUCAAGAGAUUCUCCUGCCUCAGCCUCCCAGGCUGGCACUGUGCCUCACAUCUGCAAUCCCAGCAUUUUGGGAGGCCAAGGCGGGCAGAUCACUUGAGGUCAGGAGUUCGAGACCAGCCUGGGCAACAUGGGGCUGGGAAGUUCAAGAUCCAGGCCUCAGAAGAUUUGGGGUUUGGUGAGGGCCAUCUUCUCACUGUAGCCUUACAUGGUGGAAGAGCCACAACAACUGGAUUCUCUUUUCUGAUUUUUGCUGCAGCUUCUGCUUUGUAAUCAUACGGACAGUUGUGCUUGUCAGAGUAACGGUGAAGUCCACAAAACAAAUUUCCACAUCGGCAGUCAAACCCUGUACAAACGAAGAAGUAGAGUCAUUUGAGAACUUGAGGCAAUUAAAAGAAAAAAAAGCCUUAGUCACUAUAGAAAAGGAACCAGAUUUUCAUUGCUUUGUAACAUAAAAGACAGUGAACUCUUUUCUUCCACUUCCUGGUGAUAAGACACAGUCAACUCUUACAGAGUCUAUCACGUUAACCUGGAAAAGGAACUUUUAACUUCCUUUGACAUGGUGAGAAAUUCAAAUAACUAUGUUCAGUCUUUCCUUGCAAGGGCAAUAGCGAAGUGUUUGGUAAGCCAAACCACGUGGAGAAAACAAAAUGGGCUAUCUGCCAGCUAAUUUCUCCCAGAUGCUCUCCCUCUAUCGACUCCUGUAGAUGCAACGCAGGAUAAAAUUUACACAGGCUCUGGAGUUAGGCUAAGCUGGAUUCAAAACACAGUCCUACCAUAUCUUAAGUAAUGCUUCCUCAAGUGAAAACAACCAUCAAGGUCUGAGAUUUGAAGGAGACAAGAAAAAAAGCACCAAGAACAUUCCCUGCAUAGCUCAAAGUAGGUGGCGCUUACUGUUAGUUCAGUAACAUUUUCCCUAGGUAUACAAAAACUUUUUAUCAAUCUAAUAAAAUAAGAGGGCCUGAG
Long non-coding RNA from Homo sapiens (human), 1324 nucleotides. Ensembl annotates it as long intergenic non-protein coding RNA 1504. The record is from Ensembl. Lineage: Eukaryota; Metazoa; Chordata; Mammalia; Primates; Hominidae.